AUUGAACGCUGGCGGCAGGCCUAACACAUGCAAGUCGAGCGGUUGAGGUAGCUUGCUACCGAUGCAGCGGCGAACGGGUGAGUAAUACAUGGGAAUCUGCCUGGUAGUGGGGGACAACGUCUCGAAAGGGACGCUAAUACCGCAUACGCCCUACGGGGGAAAGGGGGGGAUCUUUGGACCUCUCGCUAUCAGAUGAGCCCAUGUCAGAUUAGCUAGUUGGUAGGGUAAAGGCCUACCAAGGCGACGAUCUGUAACUAGUCUGAGAGGAUGAUCAGUAACACUGGAACUGAGACACGGUCCAGACUCCUACGGGAGGCAGCAGUGGGGAAUAUUGGACAAUGGGCGCAAGCCUGAUCCAGCCAUGCCGCGUGUGUGAAGAAGGCCUUAGGGUUGUAAAGCACUUUCAGUGGGGAGAAAGGUUAUUCACCUAAUACGUGAGUAAAUUGAUGUUACCCACAGAAGAAGCACCGGCUAACUCCGUGCCAGCCGCCGCCGUAA
RNAcentral lists this ribosomal RNA (498 nucleotides) under uncultured bacterium. RNAcentral describes it as "partial 16S ribosomal RNA". It matches the Rfam family "Bacterial small subunit ribosomal RNA", at positions 30 to 523 of the family's 1533-position model. The record is from RNAcentral.